GCGCCUGUAGUUUAGCUGGAUAGAAUGUAGCGCUACGAACGCUGAGAUCGGGGGUUCGAGUCCCUCCAGGCGCACCA
RNAcentral lists this transfer RNA (77 nucleotides) under Candidatus Scatovivens faecipullorum. Its description in RNAcentral is "tRNA-Arg". It matches the Rfam family "tRNA". From Rfam's summary of the family: Transfer RNA (tRNA) molecules are approximately 80 nucleotides in length. Lineage: Bacteria; Bacillati; Bacillota; Clostridia; Eubacteriales; Clostridiaceae. The record is from RNAcentral.